This 71-nucleotide transfer RNA is filed under the name Diplorchis sp. RNAcentral's name for it is "tRNA-Ser". The record is from RNAcentral. Lineage: Eukaryota; Metazoa; Platyhelminthes; Monogenea; Polystomatidea; Polystomatidae.
GCGGAUAUAGAAAGUGUUUUCAUAGUGAUUUGAGAUUAUUAUAUUUUGUGUUUUGUUGUACAAUGUUCGUU